This 498-nucleotide ribosomal RNA is filed under the name uncultured bacterium. RNAcentral's name for it is "partial 16S ribosomal RNA". It matches the Rfam family "Bacterial small subunit ribosomal RNA", at positions 30 to 523 of the family's 1533-position model. The record is from RNAcentral.
AUUGAACGCUGGCGGCAUGCUUUACACAUGCAAGUCGAACGGUAACAGGCCGCAAGGUGCUGACGAGUGGCGAACGGGUGAGUAAUGCAUCGGAACGUGCCCAGUCGUGGGGGAUAACGCAGCGAAAGCUGCGCUAAUACCGCAUACGAUCUAUGGAUGAAAGCGGGGGACCGUAAGGCCUCGCGCGAUUGGAGCGGCCGAUGUCAGAUUAGGUAGUUGGUGGGGUAAAGGCUCACCAAGCCAACGAUCUGUAGCUGGUCUGAGAGGACGACCAGCCACACUGGGACUGAGACACGGCCCAGACUCCUACGGGAGGCAGCAGUGGGGAAUUUUGGACAAUGGGCGCAAGCCUGAUCCAGCAAUGCCGCGUGCAGGAAGAAGGCCUUCGGGUUGUAAACUGCUUUUGUACGGAACGAAACGGCUCUGGUUAAUACCUGGGGCUAAUGACGGUACCGUAAGAAUAAGCACCGGCUAACUACGUGCCAGCCGCCGCGGUAA